This 268-nucleotide ribosomal RNA is filed under the name uncultured Tomentella. RNAcentral's name for it is "partial large subunit ribosomal RNA". Lineage: Eukaryota; Fungi; Basidiomycota; Agaricomycetes; Thelephorales; Thelephoraceae. The record is from RNAcentral.
ACGCUUGAAGUCAGUCACGUCUGCCAGGACUCAGCCUUGCUUCUGCUUGGUGUACUUUCUGGUUUGAUGGGCCAACAUCAAUUUCGACCAUUGGAGAAAGGCUUUGGGAAUGUGGCACCUUCGGGUGUGUUAUAGCCCUUUGUUGUAUACAAUGGUUGGGAUUGAGGACUGCAGCAUGCCUUCAUGGCCGGGGCUCGCCCACGUACGUGCUUAGGAUGUUGGCAUAAUGGCUUUAAGCGACCCGUCUUGAAACACGGACCAAGGAGUC